AUGCCGAUGAGGAGCGCGCCGCCUGCGCGUACGAGCAACGCAUGGUGGCUAGCGACGAUGCUCUUGUUGGUGGCGAUGGCAUGGUGCUACUCCCUGUUGCGUGAUUCAUCGUCGGUGCAUCCUCCAAUAAGCUCGGUUGCUGCCAUGAUUUGGAGAAGGAUUCGUCCCCUUCCUCUGUUGCUUCAAGCUUCUAUGGAGGUGGAUGGAGCGAUGGUGAUGCUAGAGGAUCUGGUUUUUGCAGGUGGGUUCUGA
RNAcentral lists this ribosomal RNA (252 nucleotides) under Triticum aestivum (bread wheat). RNAcentral's name for it is "partial small subunit ribosomal RNA". Lineage: Eukaryota; Viridiplantae; Streptophyta; Magnoliopsida; Poales; Poaceae. The record is from RNAcentral.